UACGAAGGGUGCAAGCGUUACUCGGAAUCACUGGGCGUAAAGCGCACGUAGGCGGCUUCUUAAGUCAGGGGUGAAAGCCUGGAGCUCAACUCCAGAACUGCCUUUGAUACUGAGGAGCUUGAGUCCGGGAGAGGUGAGUGGAACUGCGAGUGUAGAGGUGAAAUUCGUAGAUAUUCGCAAGAACACCAGUGGCGAAGGCGGCUCACUGGCCCGGUACUGACGCUGAGGUGCGAAAGCGUGGGGAGCAAACAGG
Molecule: ribosomal RNA, 253 nt
Filed under: uncultured bacterium
Lineage: Bacteria
Description: partial 16S ribosomal RNA
Rfam family: Bacterial small subunit ribosomal RNA
Source: RNAcentral